GUGGGGAAUUUUGGACAAUGGGCGCAAGCCUGAUCCAGCAAUGCCGCGUGUGUGAAGAAGGCCUUCGGGUUGUAAAGCACUUUUGGCAGGAAAGAAAUAGUGCGUGCUAAUACCAUGCGCGAAUGACGGUACCUGCAGAAUAAGCACCGACUAACUACGUGCCAGCAGCCGCGGUAGACGUAGGGUGCAAGCGUUAAUCGGAAUUACUGGGCGUAAAGCGUGCGCAGGCGGUUUUGUAAGACAGGUGUGAAAUCCCCGGGCUCAACCUGGGAACUGCACUUGUGACUACAAGGCUAGAGUGUGUGAGAGGGAGGUGGAAUUCCGCGUGUAGCAGUGAAAUGCGUAGAGAUGCGGAGGAACACCGAUGGCGAAGGCAGCCGCCUGGGAUAACACUGACGCUCAGGCACGAAAGCGUGGGGAGCAAACAGGAUUAGAAACCCCAGUAGUCC
This 449-nucleotide ribosomal RNA is filed under the name uncultured bacterium. RNAcentral describes it as "partial 16S ribosomal RNA". It matches the Rfam family "Bacterial small subunit ribosomal RNA", at positions 354 to 796 of the family's 1533-position model. The record is from RNAcentral.